Molecule: non-coding RNA, 92 nt
Organism: Mycena latifolia
Lineage: Eukaryota; Fungi; Basidiomycota; Agaricomycetes; Agaricales; Mycenaceae
Source: the annotation of a GenBank genome assembly
GCGGACAUGGUGCACGGCGCACCGCUGACUUCAUUUGAUCGCCAAAACUCCAAUGCAAGCAGUCAGACGGGGUUCGACUCCCCGUGUCCGCA